Molecule: ribosomal RNA, 578 nt
Filed under: uncultured bacterium
Lineage: Bacteria
Description: partial 16S ribosomal RNA
Rfam family: Bacterial small subunit ribosomal RNA
Source: RNAcentral
UGGGGAAUUUUGGACAAUGGGCGAAAGCCUGAUCCAGCAAUGCCGCGUGUGUGAAGAAGGCCUUCGGGUUGUAAAGCACUUUUGUCCGGAAAGAAAUCCUUGGCUCUAAUACAGUCGGGGGAUGACGGUACCGGAAGAAUAAGCACCGGCUAACUACGUGCCAGCAGCCGCGGUAAUACGUAGGGUGCAAGCGUUAAUCGGAAUUACUGGGCGUAAAGCGUGCGCAGGCGGUUUGCUAAGACCGAUGUGAAAUCCCCGGGCUCAACCUGGGAACUGCAUUGGUGACUGGCAGGCUAGAGUAUGGCAGAGGGGGGUAGAAUUCCACGUGUAGCAGUGAAAUGCGUAGAGAUGUGGAGGAAUACCGAUGGCGAAGGCAGCCCCCUGGGCCAAUACUGACGCUCAUGCACGAAAGCGUGGGGAGCAAACAGGAUUAGAUACCCUGGUAGUCCACGCCCUAAACGAUGUCAACUAGUUGUUGGGGAUUCAUUUCCUUAGUAACGUAGCUAGCGCGUGAAGUUGACCGCCUGGGGAGUACGGUCGCAAGAUUAAAACUUAAAUGAAUUGACGGGGUCAUAGCU